AUCGCUUCUUGGCCUUUUGGCUAAGAUCAAGUGUCAUAUCUGUUCUUAUCAGUUUAAUUAAGGAGUUUGCUUUAAUAAUAUUCCACCUAGGAAUAUUCCUUUAUUUGGCAUAAUGAUUGGGUAGCCUUGUAUCAGGCUUAGAACAUGAUUGCUGUGUUCAUCCUUA
This 166-nucleotide small nuclear RNA is filed under the name Pogona vitticeps (central bearded dragon). Its description in RNAcentral is "U2 spliceosomal RNA (ENSPVIG00000020051.1)". It matches the Rfam family "U2 spliceosomal RNA". Rfam says of the family: U2 is a small nuclear RNA (snRNA) component of the spliceosome (involved in pre-mRNA splicing). Complementary binding between U2 snRNA (in an area lying towards the 5' end but 3' to hairpin I) and the branchpoint sequence (BPS) of the intron results the bulging out of an unpaired adenosine, on the BPS, which initiates a nucleophilic attack at the intronic 5' splice site, thus starting the first of two transesterification reactions that mediate splicing. The record is from Rfam by way of RNAcentral. Lineage: Eukaryota; Metazoa; Chordata; Lepidosauria; Squamata; Agamidae.